This 1294-nucleotide long non-coding RNA is filed under the name Pan troglodytes (chimpanzee). RNAcentral's name for it is "long non-coding RNA NONPTRT012866". The record is from RNAcentral. Lineage: Eukaryota; Metazoa; Chordata; Mammalia; Primates; Hominidae.
GAGAGACGCCAUUGCAAGCCUCUGCAGAGGCGCUGGAGCUGGGUCAGUCCGCCGCUCACCCCGCGGCCGCAACUUCCCGCCUUCUCAGCUUACAUGGCGUCUUCAACAAAAAGUAAUUGUUUAGAGAAGUGACAAGAUGAAGGAGGACUCUGAGUCCUAGUCUCCCUCCUCGAGUCCCUGUGUGAGCAGAGGUAAACAAUGAAAACUCACCAACCAGGAGAAAUUCACCUAGGACUGGCGCAGAAGGUAUACACCAUGAGCCUGGAAAUGAUUUAAAAGACAACACAGGCUGGGCGCGGUGGCUCACACCUAUAGUCCCAGCACUUUGGGAGGCAGAGGCGGGCGGAUUACUUGAGGUUUGCGAGUUCGAAACCAGUCUGACCAACGUGGAGAAACCCCGUCUUUACUAAAAAUACAAAAUUAGCCAGGUGUGGUGGCGCAUGUCUGUAAUCCCAGCUACUGGGGAAGCUGAGGCAGGAGAAUCCCUUGAACCCGAGAGAUGGAGGUUGGGGUGAGCUGAGAUCACACAAUUGCAGUCCAGCCUGGGCAGCAAGAGUGAAACUCCAUCUCAAAAAAACAAAAAAAACAACCCACAACUGUGGGCCAAAGGGACACAGCGACAAGGGGUCCCAGUGGGCGAGGCUGGAAUAACUUGAAUAGCAGAAUAAAGUAGCAUUGGAUUAUAAUGCACAGGGCUGAAGAAAUAUCGAUGAGUCUUUGCUGAUGUAAUAAGUGACUGAAUGAGCUGGGCAGAGUGGGACCUGCAGUUCAGCUACUCAGAGGCUGAGGUGGGAGCAUCAGUUGAGCCCAGGAGUCAAGGCCUAGUAAUAUCCCAUUUCCAAAAUAAAAGACUGAAUAAAUAAAUAGAUGGGAGAGAGGAGACAAUUGACCAUGCAGGAGGAGUCCAAAUAUUUGUUCUUUGAGGCAGGAUCUUCCUCUGUCAUUCAGAAGGCUGGAGUGCAAUGGUGCGCUGUUGCCUUGCUGCAGCCUGGACCUCCUGGGCUCAGGCAGUUGUCCCACCUCAGCCUCCCAAGUAGCUGGGACCAGAGGCAUGCACAUCCAGCCGAGUCCAAAUAAUGUAUGCAGAUAUGCCCUCACAGAGGUGACCUGAACUUUCUGAGUUGUGAGUGAGCUUCACCUGGGGACCUCCUUUUAGGUAGCAGGGAAAAAGAGGAGGGUGAGCCACACUCAGGCACCUCCUUCCAGAGAGCAUGUGCCUCAGCCUCCAGAGUAGCUGGGAUUGCAGACAUGUGCCACCAGCCUGACUAAUUUUUGUAUUUUUAGUCGAUACGGG